UACGAAGGGGGCUAGCGUUGUUCGGAAUUACUGGGCGUAAAGCGCGCGCAGGCGGCCUUUCAAGUCAGGGGUGAAAGCCCGGAGCUCAACUCCGGAAUUGCCUUUGAAACUGCAAGGCUUGAGUACGGGAGAGGUGAGUGGAAUUCCCAGUGUAGAGGUGAAAUUCGUAGAUAUUGGGAAGAACACCGGUGGCGAAGGCGGCUCACUGGCCCGUUUCUGACGCUCAUGCGCGACAGCGUGGGGAUCAAACAGG
This 253-nucleotide ribosomal RNA is filed under the name uncultured bacterium. Its description in RNAcentral is "partial 16S ribosomal RNA". It matches the Rfam family "Bacterial small subunit ribosomal RNA", at positions 524 to 776 of the family's 1533-position model. The record is from RNAcentral.